Molecule: ribosomal RNA, 255 nt
Filed under: uncultured bacterium
Lineage: Bacteria
Description: partial 16S ribosomal RNA
Rfam family: Bacterial small subunit ribosomal RNA
Source: RNAcentral
UACGUAGGGUGCGAGCGUUUGUCCGGAAUUAUUGGGCGUAAAGAGCUCGUAGGCGGCUUGUCGCGUCGGAUGUGAAAGCCCGGGGCUUUAACUCCGGGUCUGCAUUCGAUACGGGCAGGCUAGAGUUCGGUAGGGGAGACUGGAAUUCCUGGUGUAGCGGUGAAAUGCGCAGAUAUCAGGAGGAACACCGGUGGCGAAGGCGGGUCUCUGGGCCGUAACUGACGCUGAGGAGCGAAAGCGUGGGGAGCGAACAGG